AGCACUUUUCAGCAGGCUUCAACUGAUAGCAGGUGGGUUGAUACUAUGCAACAUGAAAUCAAAGCCCUUCAGGAUGAUCAUACUUGGGAGAUAGUAGACUUACCAGCUGGGAAGCAGCCAUUGGGUCAAAAUAGGUGUACAAAAUUAAAUACAAGGCUAAUUGAGAGGUAGAGAGAUACAAGGCAAAGCUAGUUGCCAAGGGGUAUAAUCAAACGAAAGGGCUAGACGAUCAUGACACAUUUUCACCUGUAGAAAAAAUGAUCACAGUUAGGACCAUUAUAAGCAUAGCUGCUGCAAAAGAUUGGCAUUUAUAUCAAAUGGAUGUUAGCAAUACUUUCUUACAGGGAGACCUCUAUGAGGGGGUCUACAUGCAAUUGCCUCAAGGAUUUCACAAGCAGGGGGAGUUGAAAGUGUGUAGGCUUGUGAAAUCUCUCUAUGGACUCAAACAGGUAUCCAGACAAUGGAACAUAAAACUCAAUAACGCACUUAUUCAUAUUGGCUAUAAACAAAGUGCAUUUGAUCAUUCUUUAUUCACAAACCAGCAAGGAAAAUAGAUGAUCAUCAUACUAGUCUAUGUUGAUGAUUUGCUUAUUACUGAGAGUUGUCCAAGCCUAGUCAAUGAUGCUAAGGCAACUCUGCAUAGAAAGUUCAAAGUCAAAGACUUGGAUCAGUUAAGAUAAUAUUUCCUUGGAACUGAGAUCUCAAGGUCCAAGAAGGGGAUCUUACUCAACCAAGGAAGUAUGCUCUAGAAUUAAUCUUAGAGGCACGUUUGAGUGGUGCAAAACCAGUUGCAACUCCUAUAGAGACGAAUCAGAAAUUGAUGACAGUGGAGUAUGACACUUGUGUUGGGAAGACAGGUGACUCAGAAUUAAGGGACAGCUCAGCAUAUCAAAGGUUAAUGUGUCACACAUUUUUCUCCCAAAGGGAUAAGGGGUUUUUUCAAUUAAAGUGACAUUAUUCGAAAUGAGAUUAUUUAUUCAAUUUUCAGAGUCGCCACUUGGGAUAAUUUAUGGUGUCCCAAGUCACCGGUUUAUUUUAAAUCCCAAAUCGAAGAAAUUUGACUCUAUUUAAAGUCUGCGAAAUCAAAAGACCAGGUAAGGAAUUCUGUUAACCCGGGAGAAGGUGUUAGGCAUUCCCGAGUUCCGUGAUUUUAGCACAGUCACUUUUAAUCAUAUCUGGCUUAGCUAAUUGUUUAAUUACACAUUUUUAAAAAAACUAUGUGUAUUUAACCACUUUUGAUUAUGGUGUUUAUGGAUUUAUCUUGAAACGAGUCACACGUAUGUGUACCUUUUUGUUUGGCACGUCAAGAAUCAUGUCACGCGUACGUAUAUACAAUUCAUAACAUUUAAUUGUUUACGAUUGUUUGGCCAAAGUCACACGAGCGCAUACCUUGAUUUAUUUUGAGAAUCAUAAUUAUGUCACGCGAACGUGUACACAAUCACAAUAAUUGAUUAGGCGUAAUUACCAACACCGCUUGUACUUCGAUUCCUUUUGAGAAACUAGUUUGAACUCCUAAUUUACCAUAUAUUGCCUCGAUUAACACAUUCAGAAGAGACAUUCUGCUAUGCGAUUUCAAAUCCAUCUAGAAGAUGCUUAUUAGGCCAAUUCUCCAAACUUAUAUCUAAUAUUUUAAUAAACAUACUUUGAGAUAAAUGAUAUAAUCACAUGGAUAAGAAAUUUGCUAAUUAAACUAAUAAUGAAACUCAACAACUAAAUAAGAACAAACAAUCAGAGAAAACACACCUCGUUCACAUAGAUUUCACAAAAAAAAAAAAAAAAAAUUAUGUAUUCAUAUACAUAGUAAUAUAACAAAAUAAAAUGAAAGAAGUAAAUCUCACAAUUAACCUUCAUAUAAGCGGAACUAGUUACUGUUAACCGGACCAAAAAAUGGAAACCUCGAACGGAACUACGGACGGAACCGCGAACCGAGCCGCAAACGGACUCAAUUUGGCUUCUUCAUGAUUUCUGGAAUUCCAAUGUAAACGAGAGGACUUCUACUUGAACUUAGAGUGAAACGGAGUGCUCAAGUUCUUUAAGAUAAUCUAUGAAAUUGGUGAAUAAUUCUGACUUUUCCUUUCGAAAUUGUUGAAUUAAGAUAAUGAUGGAGAAGAAGAGGGAGUUGUUGGUGGAAAGAGAUGAAUAUGCCGGAACCAGGGUGCUGCUGUCAUUUUAUUUGAAGAAGAAAUAGACGUUCUUCUUUCCUUUUAUCGUAUGCGGCUG
This 2220-nucleotide long non-coding RNA is filed under the name Nicotiana tabacum (common tobacco). RNAcentral's name for it is "long non-coding RNA (NTAB_LNC011303)". The record is from RNAcentral. Lineage: Eukaryota; Viridiplantae; Streptophyta; Magnoliopsida; Solanales; Solanaceae.